Long non-coding RNA from Gadus macrocephalus (Pacific cod), 971 nucleotides. RefSeq lists it as uncharacterized. The transcript is spliced from 2 exons. Lineage: Eukaryota; Metazoa; Chordata; Actinopteri; Gadiformes; Gadidae. The record is from RefSeq and is a predicted model, not a curated record.
UUUUGUCUUUAGAGAAUUGUGGAUUUCCUAAUAUCCUAUUAGAUAUUCAAUGUUUUUUUGUCUUUGAGUAGAUAGUGGAGUCUCAGCCCCAAACAGGUGGAGAAUAAAAUAACUAAGUGUGUUAGUUCUAAUACAGCUAGCUACUGAAAAACUCUGUUUUUAAAGUGGUUACAUCGUUCUUCUUCAUUAGAUGUUGUGUAAGGAACUUGGUUGUUGUUAUUGAUAUGAACACUGUAGCUUUUCUGCAUUCGGGAAUGUGUUAACCUAGUGAUUGUUAUUGCUUGGCACUUAGUUAUAUGAACAUCCUUACUGUGCCCAGAGAUAUAUUGUUGAUUCUCUUUCUUCUGAAAAAUGUAUUUAUUGUAAAUCGCACUGGAUAAAAAUGUCUGCUAAACGUAUGUAGCGUUUGGUAGAGGGGUCUAAACGUUGACUAAACGUGAUGUGAUUGGCUGAUCAGGACGACUUCCUGCCGGCCCUCUCAGUGCGGGGCGCUGCGGUCACAAGGUGGGACUUGUUGCGUUACGCCCCAUGUCACACGUCUCCCCCGAGCACCAGCGGGAAGUCCCGGCGAGAGACCGUACGGCCCUGAGCAGUGCGAUGUCCUCCGCACACGUAGAGAUAUGUAGAGUGGUCGAGAGAUCCGAGAAUAAAAUGACUCAACAAGGCUUUGAGUAGUGAUGCAGAGUAUAACGAAAGGGUGGGUUAUGCAGAAGUGUGAACUCCGAUAUACCGGGGGGUGGGUGUGUGUGGGUGUGUGGGACUGACUUUUAGUAGAUAUGUGUUCACUGAUGUUGCUAAGGAAAUGUAUGUUUCCUUCUCUUCUGUGGAAAAUAAAACGCAUCGUGCACUGAUAUCCUCUUCAGGUCUUCUGUGAUUUAUGUUGUUAUUAAAGGAGCAUUUCACCGGUGGAGGCAUGAAUAUGUAUUGAAAUUGUGUCCUAUAUGUAGUCGAAUAAUAAAAUAAAAUUCUAA